This 400-nucleotide ribosomal RNA is filed under the name uncultured bacterium. RNAcentral describes it as "bacterial SSU rRNA". It matches the Rfam family "Bacterial small subunit ribosomal RNA", at positions 355 to 771 of the family's 1533-position model. The record is from RNAcentral.
UAGGGAAUUUUCCACAAUGGACGAAAGUCUGAUGGAGCAACGCCGCGUGCAGGAUGAAGGCUUUCGGGUCGUAAACUGCUUUUAUGUGCGAGGAUUAUGACAGUAACACAUGAAUAAGGGUCGGCUAACUACGUGCCAGCAGCCGCGGUCAUACGUAGGACCCAAGCGUUAUCCGGAAUUACUGGGCGUAAAGAGUUGCGUAGGUGGCAAAGUAAGUAAGGUGUGAAAUCACACGGCUCAACCGUGUACACAUGCUUUAAACUGCUUCGCUAGAGAACGAGAGAGGUAGAUGGAAUUCCCAGUGUAGGAGUGAAAUCCGUAGAUAUUGGGAGGAACACCGAUGGCGUAGGCAGUCUACUGGCUCGUUUCUGACACUAAGGCACGAAAGCGUGGGGAGCAA